This 816-nucleotide ribosomal RNA is filed under the name uncultured bacterium. RNAcentral describes it as "bacterial SSU rRNA". It matches the Rfam family "Bacterial small subunit ribosomal RNA", at positions 58 to 916 of the family's 1533-position model. The record is from RNAcentral.
CAAGUCGAACGGGAAUCUUCGGAUUCUAGUGGCGGACGGGUGAGUAACGCGUAAGAAUCUAACUUCAGGACGGGGACAACAGUUGGAAACGACUGCUAAUACCCGAUAUGCCGCGAGGUGAAACCUAAUUGGCCUGAAGAAGAGCUUGCGUCUGAUUAGCUAGUUGGUGGGGUAAGAGCCUACCAAGGCGACGAUCAGUAGCUGGUCUGAGAGGAUGAGCAGCCACACUGGGACUGAGACACGGCCCAGACUCCUACGGGAGGCAGCAGUGGGGAAUUUUCCGCAAUGGGCGAAAGCCUGACGGAGCAACGCCGCGUGAGGGAGGAAGGUCUUUGGAUUGUAAACCUCUUUUCUCAAGGAAGAAGUUCUGACGGUACUUGAGGAAUCAGCCUCGGCUAACUCCGUGCCAGCGGCCGCGGUAAUACGGGGGAGGCAAGCGUUAUCCGGAAUUAUUGGGCGUAAAGCGUCCGCAGGUGGUCAGCCAAGUCUGCUGUCAAAUCAGGUUGCUUAACGACCUAAAGGCGGUGGAAACUGGCAGACUAGAGAGCAGUAGGGGUAGCAGGAAUUCCCAGUGUAGCGGUGAAAUGCGUAGAGAUUGGGAAGAACAUCGGUGGCGAAAGCGUGCUACUGGGCUGUAUCUGACACUCAGGGACGAAAGCUAGGGGAGCGAAAGGGAUUAGAUACCCCUGUAGUCCUAGCCGUAAACGAUGGAUACUAGGCGUGGCUUGUAUCGACCCGAGCCGUGCCGAAGCUAACGCGUUAAGUAUCCCGCCUGGGGAGUACGCACGCAAGUGUGAAACUCAAAGGAAUUGACGG